Molecule: ribosomal RNA, 468 nt
Filed under: uncultured bacterium
Lineage: Bacteria
Description: partial 16S ribosomal RNA
Rfam family: Bacterial small subunit ribosomal RNA
Source: RNAcentral
GACGAACGCUGGCGGCGUGCUUAACACAUGCAAGUCGAACGGAAAGGCCCUGCUUGCAGGGUGCUCGAGUGGCGAACGGGUGAGUAACACGUGGGUGAUCUGCCCCUUACUUUGGGAUAAGCCUGGGAAACUGGGUCUAAUACUGGAUAGGACCAUGCUGUAGGUGGUGUGGUGGAAAGAUUAGUUUCGGUAAGGGAUGAGCUCGCGGCCUAUCAGCUUGUUGGGGGGGUAAUGGCCUACCAAGGCGUCGACGGGUAGCCGGCCUGAGAGGGUGGACGGCCACAUUGGGACUGAGAGACGGCCCAGACACCUACGGGAGGCAGCAGUGGGGAAUAUUGCACAAUGGGCGCAAGCCUGAUGCAGAGACGCCGCGUGGGGGAUGACGGCGUUCGGGGUGUAGACUCCUGUCGGCCAUGACGAAGCCUUCGGGUGACGGUAGUGGUAGAAGAAGCAACGGCUAACUACGUG